This 380-nucleotide ribosomal RNA is filed under the name uncultured archaeon. RNAcentral describes it as "bacterial SSU rRNA". It matches the Rfam family "Archaeal small subunit ribosomal RNA", at positions 471 to 851 of the family's 1478-position model. The record is from RNAcentral.
UAAUACCAGCUCCCUGAGUGGUAGGGAUGAUUAUUUGGCCUAAAGCGUUCGUAGCCGGCUUGGCAAGUCUUCCGUUAAAUCCAGCGACUCAAUCGUUGGUCUGCGGAAGAUACUACUAGGCUAGAGGACGGGAGAGGUUGACGGUAUUCCCAGUGUAGGGGUGAAAUCCAAUGAUCCUGGGAGGACCACCAGUGGCGAAGGCGGUCAACGAGAACGUGCCUGACGGUGAUGGACGAAAGCUGGGGGAGCGAACCGGAUUAGACACCCGGGUAGUCCCAGCCGUAAACGAUGCGGGCUAGGUGUUAGGGCAGCUACGAGCUGCUCUAGUGCCGCAGAGAAGUCGUUAAGCCCGCCGCCUGGGGAGUACGAUCGCAAGAUUG